UGGGGAAUAUUGCACAAUGGGCGCAAGCCUGAUGCAGCAACGCCGCGUGAAGGACGAAGGCCCUCGGGUCGUAAACUUCUAUCGACGGGGACGAACACAAUGACGGUACCCGAGUAAGAAGCCCCGGCUAACUACGUGCCAGCAGCCGCGGUAAUACGUAGGGGGCAAGCGUUAUCCGGAUUUACUGGGCGUAAAGGGUGAGUAGGCGGCACGGUAAGUCAUAUGUGAAAGCCCUAAGCUCAACUUAGGGACUGCAUAAGAAACUGCCGCGCUUGAGUGCAGGAGAGGUAAGCGGAAUUCCUAGUGUAGCGGUGAAAUGCGUAGAUAUUAGGAAGAACACCGGUGGCGAAGGCGGCUUACUGGACUGUAACUGACGCUGAGUCACGAAAGCGUGGGGAGCAAACA
Molecule: ribosomal RNA, 405 nt
Filed under: uncultured Eubacteriales bacterium
Lineage: Bacteria; Bacillati; Bacillota; Clostridia; Eubacteriales
Description: uncultured Clostridiales bacterium partial 16S ribosomal RNA
Rfam family: Bacterial small subunit ribosomal RNA
Source: RNAcentral